GCCUACGGGAGGCAGCAGUGGGGAAUAUUGGACAAUGGGCGAAAGCCUGAUCCAGCAAUGCCGCGUGAGUGAUGAAGGCCUUAGGGUUGUAAAGCUCUUUUACCCGGGAUGAUAAUGACAGUACCGGGAGAAUAAGCUCCGGCUAACUCCGUGCCAGCAGCCGCGGUAAUAAUCGA
RNAcentral lists this ribosomal RNA (176 nucleotides) under uncultured bacterium. Its description in RNAcentral is "partial 16S ribosomal RNA". It matches the Rfam family "Bacterial small subunit ribosomal RNA", at positions 337 to 528 of the family's 1533-position model. The record is from RNAcentral.